CGACUAAGCGUACACGGUGGAUGCCCUGGCAGUCAGAGGCGAUGAAGGACGUGCUAAUCUGCGAAAAGCGUCGGUAAGGUGAUAUGAACCGUUACAGCCGGCGAUGUCCGAAUGGGGAAACCCAGUGUGAUUCGUCACACUAUCGUUAACUGAAUACAUAGGUUAACGAGGCGAACCGGGGGAACUGAAACAUCUAAGUACCCCGAGGAAAAGAAAUCAACCGA
This 224-nucleotide ribosomal RNA is filed under the name Klebsiella aerogenes. Its description in RNAcentral is "partial 23S ribosomal RNA". It matches the Rfam family "Bacterial large subunit ribosomal RNA", at positions 1 to 232 of the family's 2925-position model. RNAcentral also lists the same sequence under 1 other name. The record is from RNAcentral. Lineage: Bacteria; Pseudomonadati; Pseudomonadota; Gammaproteobacteria; Enterobacterales; Enterobacteriaceae.